GAGUUUGAUCAUGGCUCAGGACGAACGCUGGCGGCACGCCUAACACAUGCAAGUCGAACGGAGAUAUUUUGGUUUACUGAGAUAUYUUAGUGGCGGACGGGUGAGUAACACGUGAGCAACCUGCCUYUGAGAGAGGGAUAGCUUCUGGAAACGGAUGGUAAUACCUCAUAACAUAACGAAGCCGCAUGACUUUGUUAUCAAAGAUUUAUCACUCAGAGAUGGGCUCGCGUYUGAUUAAAUAGUUGGUGAGGUAACGGCUCACCAAGUCGACGAUCAGUAGCCGGACUGAGAGGUUGAACGGCCACAUUGGGACUGAGACACGGCCCAGACUCCUACGGGAGGCAGCAGUGGGGAAUAUUGCACAAUGGGGGAAACCCUGAUGCAGCGAUGCCGCGUGGAGGAAGAAGGUUUUCGGAUUGUAAACUCCUGUCUAAAGGACGAUAAUGACGGUACUAGAGAG
Molecule: ribosomal RNA, 460 nt
Filed under: uncultured Bacillota bacterium
Lineage: Bacteria; Bacillati; Bacillota
Description: bacterial SSU rRNA
Source: RNAcentral